GCGCUAUUACCCUGAAGCGUUAUCAAACACGAACCACUAUCGACCCGAGAACCGCUAUUUGGUUUGUGAAUGAUAGCUCGUCGGGGUGAUAGCGCGCCCGCUUGUGGCAAAUUCAGGGGGAGUCUUGAACCAAGUCUAGCGCCUUGACCGAAGGCUACAUUCUCUUGUGUCGUGGCUACAGUACAAGCAGACACGUUGCGAUGUGAACCGUGGGUACAGAGGCAAAGAGUCAACAACAGACCAUUUUGUUGAUGAGGAGUCUUUUGUAGAGUGUUGACUACAACUGAUCUGUUGAGCAUCAGUGGACGUACAUACUGUAGUGCCAGGGGCGCCUUUGACUGGAGGCUACAUUCUCUUGUGCGAUGGUGAACUACAACCAGACCUGUUGCGAUGUGAAUCCUUGGGUGGAGCGAUAUAGAUGCUUACAUUACAGUCCACAACAGACCACUUGUUAAGGAGUGCUUUGCAGAGUGGUGCUACAACUGAGCUGUUUGGAUGAGCAUCUGGGGUGAUGCGAGCACCUUGACUGAAGACUACAUUCUCUUGUGCAGUGGCUAGAGCUGGAGCUGUUGAGUUUGGCAUUAGAGGAGAGUAUACAGUGUUUACCGUCUGGGUUGCAGGGAACGCCUUGACUGAAGGCUACAUUCUCUUGUGCAGUGGCUAGAGCUGGAGCUGUUGAGUUUGGCAUUAGAGGAGAGUAUACAGUGUUUACCGUCUGGGUUGCAGGGAGCGCCUUGACUGAAGGCUUCAUUCUCUUGAGCCAUCGCGACUACAACCAGACUUGUUUCAUUGGGGAAUCAUUGGAGGAUACAGACCACUUGAUUGAGACAAUGACCUUGGAGAAGACAUACACCCAACCUUGAGGCUCAUCACUGCCUUUUAGACUGUGCCACCAGCUGAGGAAGGACUACAACAAGUCUAGCCAGAUGACUUUCUGUUCUGACACAACACGUUCAACUGCUGUAGUUAAAUAGGAUAUGGAGGUUAACCAACGCAUUUUAGACUGUGCAAGGACUGCAUUGAGCCUAGCCAAAUGACUCUUCGACAUGUUGGACCGUUCAAGUGAGUUUGAGGCUAUAACUAACACUAAGUUGAGGCCAAUGAACGCUGUUUGGAUGGUGUGCCACCAUCUGAAAGACUGUGUCAAGUGUAACUAGAAGACUCUGCUUUAAGUUCAACCAUUGAAGUGGCGAUCGUAGAGACGUUGGGGCUACAAAACAUUUUGGACUGUCACGAGCUGACAAAAGACUGUGUCAAGUCUAGAUGAUUCCCCACAUGUACGACUAGAACAAGCAGGACCAUGACGGCACCAUAGUGGAUACAGACACUUGAAGAGUAGAGACACUAGACUAUGUAUGUCUGAGUUUGUGACUGCAGCUAAGGCUGUGGCCGUUGCAGCGAGCCUCAACUGCUUUACACAAAUAUAACCCAUGUUCACAUGAAUGAUCAAGUCACAGCCGUAUCUGCAGCCACAAACUCAGCCUUGGUUUAACAUAAGUAUAGGCUUCUCUUGAAUCCAUCAACCUCCAACCAAUGUACAAUGUACUCGCAUAAGGACCAAAUUUUAUGAAGUUUAAACAGAAAGUUCUGCCAAGCCAAUAAAUUUUGUAAUAACAUUUGGCAAUAAAAAAAAUAAGUAUAAUGACUGAUGUACCUGUCUUUGCAAUGGUAACUGUAUGGUAUUCUGGCUGCUAACCUACUUUUGCUAAGCAAGCUUUUGUGCUUACAAGCUAGAUGAAAUAUAGUCCAUGUUUUACAAAUAUUGGCACACCUGGCCCCAUGCCAAACACUGUUGAUUUAUCAUACAGAAUAAGACUAACUAUAUUCAAGUACAAUAUAUUUUGGACUUUGAUGGAUUCACAGUAGUUAGGAAUAGAACUUCAAGAUGGUACAGCUUUUGUCUUUAGACAUGCUUUUAUCAAAAUCUGAGGUAACCCGUUAAACCCGGAAACAUCUGUGUUGUGUAAUGUGUAGUGCAAUUCAUGAAGUAUUUUUGCUUGAUGAGAUACUUUGCCUGAAAAUGAGUGAAAAUGUAAAAAAAACAUUGGUCACAGUUUGCAACUGGAGAAUUAAUUUUUGUGCAAUAACUGAAGCUGUACCACUAUGUAAAAAUAAUGUCAACAAGGGGGCCCAGUGUUUGGAAAUAAGUGCUUGUCUGUGAUUAAAUUCAAAAUCAUUUAUAUUUUCUAAGAAAUGCCCAUGAUAAUUUUUCAGUCAUGUAAAAAAAUUUAUAAAGGGAGACAACCGGAUAAAUUGAUGUUUAUAUAAUCAAGAUAGAAUGUCAAGUUGUUUAGUUCAAUUUGUAAGAUUUUACACCAAUUGGAAUUGUCCUAAGCUACACAAGUUUAUGUAGCAAAGUAAACUUGCAUUAAUCAUGAGGUAUGACUAAAAAAUGUGUGGGACAUUUCAAAGUGUACACUUGAGCACCAAUUGACAGGAUACUCUUCCAUUGAGAAAUUCUCAAGCAAAAGUUGCAAUGCGAACACAAGUCCGUUGCAAUGCGAACACAAGUCCGUUGCAAUGCGAACACAAGUCCGUUGCAAUGCGAACACAAGUCUGUUGCUAUGCGAACACAAGUCUGUUGCAAUGCGAACACAAGUCUGUUGCAAUGCGAACACAAGUCCGUUGCAAUGCGAACACAAGUCCGUUGCAAUGCGAACACAAGUCUGUUGCAAUGCGAACACAAGUCUGUUGCAAUGCGAACACAAGUCUGUUGCUAUGCGAACACAAGUCUGUUGCAAUGCGAACACAAGUCUGUUGCAAUGCGAACACAAGACUGUUGCAAUGCGAACACAAGUCUGUUGCAAUGCGAACACAAGUCUGUUGCAAUGCGAACACAAACCAUGGCCACCAUCGCAGCACAAAGGGCUCAGGUUCACAAAGAAUACAAAUCUUGCUAAGCAAAGUGUGAUUUCUUGUCACAAUACAAAUCACUUAAAGGCAGUGGAUACUAUUGGUAAUU
This is a long non-coding RNA of Asterias rubens (European starfish), 2962 nucleotides long. RefSeq lists it as uncharacterized. The transcript has 4 exons. NCBI's taxonomy places the organism in Eukaryota, Metazoa, Echinodermata, Asteroidea, Forcipulatida, Asteriidae. The record is from RefSeq and is a predicted model, not a curated record.